AUACGGAGGAUGCGAGCGUUAUCCGGAUUUAUUAGGUUUAAAGGGUGUGUAGGCGGUAUUUUAAGUCAGUGGUGAAAUCUCGGAGCUUAACUUCGAAACUGCCAUUGAUACUGGAAUACUAGAGUAUAGUUGAGGUAGGCGGAAUAUGUAAUGUAGCGGUGAAAUGCAUAGAUAUUACAUAGAACACCGAUUGCGAAGGCAGCUUACUAAACUAUUACUGACGCUGAUGCACGAAAGCAUGGGGAGCGAACAGGAUUAGAUACCCUAGUAGUCC
Molecule: ribosomal RNA, 274 nt
Filed under: uncultured bacterium
Lineage: Bacteria
Description: partial 16S ribosomal RNA
Rfam family: Bacterial small subunit ribosomal RNA
Source: RNAcentral